Molecule: ribosomal RNA, 380 nt
Filed under: uncultured eukaryote
Lineage: Eukaryota
Description: partial 18S ribosomal RNA
Rfam family: Eukaryotic small subunit ribosomal RNA
Source: RNAcentral
CAAUAGCGUAUAUUAAAGUUGUUGCGGUAAAAAAGCUCGUAGUUGGAUUUCUGUUGAGAGCGACCGGUCCAUACCAUGUAUGCGUAUCUGGCUUGCUCUCGGCAUCCUCUCGAUAGACGUUACUGCGCUUGAUUGCGUGGUGCGGAUCUCGGGACUUUUACUUUGAGGAAAUUAGAGUGUUCACGGCAGGCUUUCGCCAGAAUACAUUAGCAUGGAAUAAUACUAUAGGAUCUUGGUUCUAUUUUGUUGGUUUCUAGAAUUGAGAUAAUGAUUAAUAGGGACAAUUGGGGGGCAUACGUAUCAACACGUCAGAGGUGGAAUUCUUGGAUUGUGUUGCGACGAACUACUGCGAAAGCAUUUGCCAAGGAUGUUUUCAUUGA